AGUACGCAUGCGCGAAAGUCCGUUGUUUUGUUUUUUUUGUUUGUUUUUUUUCCCCAAUCAUUCGCGAAUUUUAAUUUUUUUAUUUCUUUACAGCUGGGGCCGCUGCAGUCCGAUAGCACGGGCCGCCCCUGGAUCUGUUCACAUUCUUUGCAUACAUUAUCACUAGAAGCUGUAUUGCCUGUUUGAAGAUAUGCUUAUGAAAUAAGUAACUAAAGCAUUUUUUCAAUGACAUUGGGAAAGAAGGCACAUAGCUGCAGUAAUUACUAGUAUGGAAAUGGCUGAAUUAAGUCAAGAAAGAUAAAGCUCUCAGACAGCAGAAUAACCUUCUCCUUUAUGAUGCUUUAGUAUUUGGACACCCCCAAUGUGAUGUCUAACUUGUAUAUGUCAGCUCCGACAACAACAUACCAAAGAGAAAAGAGAAAAUUUUGAGAGAUGGCAAUCUCAGACUUACUAUAUACAAGUCCAGAUUUUCAGCCAUUUAAUCUCAGCAGUAUGGGACUCAAAAAUCUAGGUCCCGAACUUUCAAACUGUUACCCAGACAUUAUUUGUUUUUUCAGUCUGUCUUGCUCCUAAGACGGGAUUGUGUCAGUAUCAUACAGCCUAGACAGAACAAAGCAGGUGGUUUAUUUUUGCAUUAUUUUAUAACAAUUACUUAGAAUAUCUCUGGAAAAACCUGUGGUGCUUUCUUUUUACUGAAUUACUAUGACAUGUCAAAUGUAAGCCAAUAAAAAAGCUGAUCUUUUUUAUUUUAA
Protopterus annectens (West African lungfish) is the source of this 752-nucleotide long non-coding RNA. RefSeq lists it as uncharacterized. Lineage: Eukaryota; Metazoa; Chordata; Ceratodontiformes; Protopteridae. The record is from RefSeq and is a predicted model, not a curated record. The transcript is spliced from 2 exons.